ACCAUCUUCAAAUCGUCACUCAAAGAAAGUCUAAAUAAAACAGAUUUCCUACUAAUUAAGAAGCCCCAAAUUAUUACAAUAAAGCUAGCAAUAAAUGGCUCUUGCUAUGUCUAACAACAAAGUGGCCGUGCUUCUUGUGUUCUGUCUUUUCCUCAUCAUCUCCUCCACUGAAAGCAGACAACUCGGCACUGGGAAUGGCAAACCGAGCUGCGACUUUACUUAUGCAGUAAAACCUGCUGAUACUUGCGCUGAUGUGAUUGAAGAUUUCGCUCUGGAUUCGGACUUCUUCUUUUCAAUCAAUCCUAACAUCAACUGCGACGCUCUCUUUGUCGAUCAAUGGCUAUGUGUCAGUGGGUCAGCAUAGUAUGCUGCUGCAGCUUGCAGGCGGACUCGAGUUCAAGGAUUCAAGCAAAGAGUUAAAUUAAAACCGAGUAAUACAUAGAACAAAGGAUCUUCGUAACAUUCUUAGAGGACAUUGUUCUUGCUGUUAUGUUAUUUGAGUAUGGAAUAAUACGGUUGACAGUGUUAGCAUGUCAAGAUUGUUAACCAAGUCAGUACGCAACAAUGUAGCUCAUUCAGUUGUUUACGUUUUCUCUCGCUUUCUCUCAUCUUCUUCUUCCUUCGUUCUUCUUGUUCAAUAAUUCUGCUUCCAGACA
Rosa chinensis is the source of this 656-nucleotide long non-coding RNA. RefSeq lists it as uncharacterized. The transcript has 2 exons. Lineage: Eukaryota; Viridiplantae; Streptophyta; Magnoliopsida; Rosales; Rosaceae. The record is from RefSeq and is a predicted model, not a curated record.